UACGGAGGGAGCUAGCGUUGUUCGGAAUUACUGGGCGUAAAGGGCGCGUAGGCGGCCUGCUAAGUCGAACGUGAAAUCCCUGGGCUCAACCCAGGAACUGCGUCCGAUACUGGUUGGCUUGAAUCCGGGAGAGGGAUGUGGAAUUCCAGGUGUAGCGGUGAAAUGCGUAGAUAUCUGGAGGAACACCGGUGGCGAAGGCGGCAUCCUGGACCGGUAUUGACGCUGAGGUGCGAAAGCGUGGGGAGCAAACAGG
This 253-nucleotide ribosomal RNA is filed under the name uncultured bacterium. RNAcentral describes it as "partial 16S ribosomal RNA". It matches the Rfam family "Bacterial small subunit ribosomal RNA", at positions 524 to 776 of the family's 1533-position model. The record is from RNAcentral.